GAUGAACGCUGGCGGCGUGCCUAAUACAUGCAAGUCGAGCGAACAGACGAGGAGCUUGCUCCUCGGACGUUAGCGGCGGACGGGUGAGUAACACGUGGAUAACCUACCUAUAAGACUGGGAUAACUUCGGGAAACCGGAGCUAAUACCGGAUAAUAUAUUGAACCGCAUGGUUCAAUAGUGAAAGACGGUGUUGCUGUCACUUAUAGAUGGAUCCGCGCGGCAUUAGCUAGUUGGUAAGGUAACGGCUUACCAAGGCAACGAUGCGUAGCCGCCCUGAGAGGGUGAGCGGCGACGCUGGAACUGGGGCACGGUCCAGACUCCUACGGGAGGCAGCAGUCGCGAAUCUUCCGCAAUGGGCGAAAGCCUGACGGAGCAACGCCGCGUGAGUGAUGAAGGUCUUCGGAUCGUAAAACUCUGUUAUUAGGGAAGAACAAAUGUGUAAGUAACUAUGCACGUCUUGACGGUACCUAAUCAGAAAGCCCCGGCUAACUACGUG
RNAcentral lists this ribosomal RNA (497 nucleotides) under uncultured bacterium. Its description in RNAcentral is "partial 16S ribosomal RNA". It matches the Rfam family "Bacterial small subunit ribosomal RNA", at positions 28 to 507 of the family's 1533-position model. The record is from RNAcentral.